This 460-nucleotide ribosomal RNA is filed under the name uncultured Treponema sp. Its description in RNAcentral is "bacterial SSU rRNA". It matches the Rfam family "Bacterial small subunit ribosomal RNA", at positions 341 to 792 of the family's 1533-position model. The record is from RNAcentral. Lineage: Bacteria; Pseudomonadati; Spirochaetota; Spirochaetia; Treponematales; Treponemataceae.
ACGGGAGGCAGCAGCUAAGAAUAUUCCGCAAUGGACGGAAGUCUGACGGAGCGACGCCGCGUGAACGAAGAAGGUCGGAAGAUUGUAAAGUUCUUUUGGACAUGAGGAAGAAGCGGGAGAGUGGAAAGCUUCCGCGGUGACUGUAGUGUCAGAAUAAGCAACGGCUAAUUACGUGCCAGCAGCCGCGGUAACACGUAAGUUGCGAGCGUUGUUCGGAAUUAUUGGGCGUAAAGGGCAUGUAGGCGGUUUUGCAAGCUUGGUGUGAAAUCCCGGAGCUCAACUCCGGAAUUGCGUUGAGAACUGCAUAACUAGAGUCACUGAGGGGCAAUCAGAAUUCCAGGUGUAGGGGUGAAAUCUGUAGAUAUCUGGAAGAAUACCAAUGGCGAAGGCAGGUUACCAGCAGAUGACUGACGCUGAGGUGCGAAGGUGCGGGGAGCAAACAGGAUUAGAUACCCUGGUA